Long non-coding RNA from Schistocerca gregaria, 1908 nucleotides. RefSeq lists it as uncharacterized. The transcript is spliced from 3 exons. NCBI's taxonomy places the organism in Eukaryota, Metazoa, Arthropoda, Insecta, Orthoptera, Acrididae. The record is from RefSeq and is a predicted model, not a curated record.
ACAACUUUAGCUUUCUAACAAGUACAUGGACGGUCAUCCGCUUGAAAAACGAAAAUUUGGAUAGAAGAUAUGGUGUAGAGAUAUAAUUAAAUUUACGAAUAAAUAAUAUGUAAAGGUCAUGCAUUUAUAACUUCAUUAGAUAGAUGGAAUCAUACAAUAGAGCUCCUCCCGAGAGAAGAAUAUCUUCGAUACCUCAAAAGUCACCAAUAUAAUAUGACAAGUUUACCUUUUUCUGCCAUACACCAAAAUACGUUUAUAUCUGAACCUGAAGAUGAUAAUGAUGAUGCAAUUAGACUUUGGCACCCAAAACUUCGUAAUUACCAGAAUCUUAUUUAUCGAGGUAGUGCGCAGGCGUUGUUCAAUCCCCUGAGGAGUACGCUCGCCGCUGUAAUUGGCAAUAAGUUUCUAUGUUGACAGAGGGCCAUUUUUAAGUUAAAACUUGGAAAAACUUAAACUUUCGGCCUUCUAUCUAUUUCGGCAUCAUGCAUAGAGAGAGUUCCUCGUUGUUUUCGAUAUUUUUCUUGUGUCUGCUUGAUAGAUGAAUUUACUGAAUUAGUGCCAAUAAAAGACCAAAUUCAAAUAACUUAAAUUUGCAGGCCGCAUUUGUCAGAACAGAUUCGAAUUGUGUCAUCACCAGAUGCAGAGGUAACCUCUUCAUAAGUUGGUCGUAACUACAUGUAAAAAUUUUGUCACUUAGAAAAAUAAACUCAAGAAGCCAACUUAUCCUGUAGCCUGGGAUCCAGAAACAUAUCUCGGCAACAAGUCCUUCUUGUCUUGAUCCAUCGUCUCCAAGUCGACAAGAAGCAGUCUUCAAAAGCAAAAUUUGAGAUCUUUGCCCUUUCUUCAACAGAGCGCAUGAACAGUCUUAGAUAAGUAAGUUUUUUUUGCCGUUAUUGGCGUCUCAGUGUGACAGAAAACGUAUUUAGCGAUCUUACAAUACUGGUGACAUUACAUAAUUUGAGCAAAUUCACGUGGGCUACAGGCAUACAAAGCAUAAUAUAUACGGGAUUUUAUAUUUAAGGAAUACAAAUAAUGAGGUGUUUUAUACAAGGCAACUUAUGCACUUUCAAGAGUUGCAGACACAAAGAAUGUCAAGUGUUUAAUUCGUGAAUUGACAAAUACAAGAUGCUGAUGAUUCAAAAGAAUAUUACUAUAAAUCGUAGUGAUUUAGGCAGUAAAUAGCUCUAAUUUGUUUUUUUAUUGUCAUCUAUUAUUCAAUCAAGAGGAGUAUUUACCUGAAGCGAUACCAAAAACAACAUACCAUUUGUCAGUUCAAAGACCUGCUGCAGUCCUGUUAUUUUGUGUCAAUUUAGGAGUUUAAGAUACCGUUCACUCCGCCUCUUAAUUCUUUGGGCAAUUUCUGUCUUUAAAAUCGCCCCUAUACUGACUGUUUCAUGGCAUCUGAUCCUACUGCCAAUCAGAACAUGUUGGAAUUUCAAACAGCUAAAAAUGACCAGAAAAACGAAUGUAGGGACGAAGGCAACUCAUCUUGCGCCUUCAAAAGAAUAAAUACAACUCCAGAUUACUCUAAUCCGAAAAUCGCAGCCCUGAGAGACCUGUUAGAUAAGACCAUAAAAGUGAUAUUAAAAGAUGGUCGUAUAGUGCUGGGAAAGCUCUAUUGUGUGGACUGGAAACGAAAUAUUAUACUACGAGACGCCUAUCAAGCAUUUACAAAUUUUUAUAAACUCGAAAUAAACUUGAAUAAAAAAAAACCCGAGCCCGGACUAUCUUCGACACGCAAUUUGGGCUCAAUUUUGAUCUCUUACGAUUCAAUAGUUGACAUCUAUUUGGCACGCUAUCCUAAAGACAUUGAAUCAGCUCAGAUCUAAUAUUGUAACAGAUAUAUACAAAAAUCUGGCUGCAGCUCGAAAUUAAAAUGUAUUAUAAAAAUCUGAAGCUUGAAUGAAU